GACGAACGCUGGCGGCGUGCUUAACACAUGCAAGUCGAACGGAAAGGCCUCUUUCGGGGGGUACUCGAGUGGCGAACGGGUGAGUAACACGUGAGUAACCUGCCCUUGACUUUGGGAUAACUUCAGGAAACUGGGGCUAAUACCGGAUAGGAGCUCCUGCUGCAUGGUGGGGGUUGGAAAGUUUCGGCGGUUGGGGAUGGACUCGCGGCUUAUCAGCUUGUUGGUGGGGUAGUGGCUUACCAAGGCCUUGACGGGUAGCCGGCCUGAGAGGGUGACCGGCCACAUUGGGACUGAGAUACGGCCCAGACUCCUACGGGAGGCAGCAGUGGGGAAUAUUGCACAAUGGGUGGAAGCCGGAUGCAGCAACGCCGUGUGCGGGAUGACGGCCUUCGGGUUGUAAACCGCUUUCGCUCAUGACGAAGCUUUGUGUGACGGUAGUGGGUAAAGAAGCACCGGCUAACUACGUG
This 467-nucleotide ribosomal RNA is filed under the name uncultured bacterium. Its description in RNAcentral is "partial 16S ribosomal RNA". It matches the Rfam family "Bacterial small subunit ribosomal RNA", at positions 28 to 507 of the family's 1533-position model. The record is from RNAcentral.